GACGAACGCUGGCGGCGUGCUUAACACAUGCAAGUCGAACGGAAAGGCCCUGCUUUUGUGGGGUGCUCGAGUGGCGAACGGGUGAGUAACACGUGAGUAACCUGCCCUUGACUUUGGGAUAACUUCAGGAAACUGGGGCUAAUACCGGAUAGGAGCUCCUGCUGCAUGGUGGGGGUUGGAAAGUUUCGGCGGUUGGGGCUGGUCUCGCGGCUUAUCAGCUUGUUGGUGGGGUAGUGGCUGACCAAGGCUUUGACGGGUAGCCGACCUGAUAGGGUGACCGGCCACAUUGGGACUGCGAGACGGCCCAGACUCCUACGGGAGGCAGCAGUGGGGAAUAUUGCACAAUGGGCGGAAGCCUGAUGCAGCAACGCCGCGUGCGGGAUGACGGCCUUCGGGUUGUAAACCGCUUUCGCCUGUGACGAAGCGUGAGUGACGGUAAUGGGUAAAGAAGCACCGGCUAACUACGUG
This 468-nucleotide ribosomal RNA is filed under the name uncultured bacterium. RNAcentral's name for it is "partial 16S ribosomal RNA". It matches the Rfam family "Bacterial small subunit ribosomal RNA", at positions 28 to 507 of the family's 1533-position model. The record is from RNAcentral.